ACGGGUGCGUAACGCGUAUGGAACUUACCCAUUACUAGGGGAUAGCCCGGAGAAAUUCGGAUUAAUACCUUAUAGUAUGGCGGACUGGCAUCAGUUUGCUAUUAAAGAUUUAUCGGUAAUGGAUAGCCAUGCGUAUGAUUAGCUAGUUGGCGGGGUAAUGGCCCACCAAGGCGAUGAUCAUUAGGGGGUCUGAGAGGAUGAUCCCCCACACUGGUACUGAGAUACGGACCAGACUCCUACGGGAGGCAGCAGUAGGGAAUAUUGGUCAAUGGGCGAGAGCCUGAACCAGCCAUGCCGCGUGCAGGAAGAAGGCCCUCUGGGUUGUAAACUGCUUUUGACAGGGGCCAAAAUAUCCAUGCGUGGAGAAUUGAGAGUACCUGUAGAAUAAGCACCGGCUAACUCCGUGCCAGCAGCCGCGGUAAUACGGAGGGUGCAAGCGUUGUCCGGAUUUAUUGGGUUUAAAGGGUGCGUGGGUGGCCUUAUAAGUCAGUGGUGAAAGCCUGCAGCUUAACUGUAGGACUGCCAUUGAUACUGUAGGGCUUGAGUACUGAUGAGGUAGGCGGAAUUGAUAGUGUAGCGGUGAAAUG
This 587-nucleotide ribosomal RNA is filed under the name uncultured Flammeovirgaceae bacterium. RNAcentral's name for it is "bacterial SSU rRNA". It matches the Rfam family "Bacterial small subunit ribosomal RNA", at positions 102 to 688 of the family's 1533-position model. Lineage: Bacteria; Pseudomonadati; Bacteroidota; Cytophagia; Cytophagales; Flammeovirgaceae. The record is from RNAcentral.